Molecule: long non-coding RNA, 650 nt
Organism: Amphimedon queenslandica
Lineage: Eukaryota; Metazoa; Porifera; Demospongiae; Haplosclerida; Niphatidae
Exons: 2
Source: RefSeq, a predicted model, not a curated record
CUGUCUCUAAUUAGAAGAAUGGAAAUUUUAGAAGAACAGAGUAUCAUGGUGCCAUCCCAAUUGGGUUGCUUAACAUACCAUUUCUUUGGAAAUACUAGCAUGAACACAAGGGCAGGUACUCUGCUACAUACAUGAACAGUAAUGGAAGUACUCCUAGUGCCCCAUCUGCUUGUAAUCUACCUCAGCAUACUGAUCCAGUAACUCCAACUAAUGAGCCAGUAAAGGCAAUCAUCACCAAUACUACUGUGCACACUGGUAAUAGAAGGAAAAUAGAUUGUAAUGCUCCUUUGUUGAAUCCUGAUACUGUGAUUAAUAAAUAUCCCAAACUAAAGACACUCUCUCAAGUUGGACAAUCAUCUGUAAGACUAGCAAGCAAAGUUUACUUUGGACCAUCACUUUUGAUUAAAUGUAGUGUGUAUGGGCAGAAGGAGAACCCUCCUUUGCCAUCUGGUGCUCUAAUGGAGCUGAAGCAGAAGCUACUGGGAUUAUUCCAUCCACGUGAUAUUAGUACAAAGGAAGAAUUUUAGCUGUAUUGGUCUAAGUGUAUUCAAGCAAUAAAUCAUUACUCUUCAGGGCUUAGAAGCAAAUAUCCACCUGAUAUUAAGAAUCUAGAGUAGAAGGCUACACUGAGUAUAGUAUCAUAUAAGAUA